This 292-nucleotide ribosomal RNA is filed under the name uncultured bacterium. RNAcentral's name for it is "partial 16S ribosomal RNA". It matches the Rfam family "Bacterial small subunit ribosomal RNA", at positions 505 to 796 of the family's 1533-position model. The record is from RNAcentral.
GUGCCAGCAGCCGCGGUAAUACGUAGGGCGCAAGCGUUGUCCGGAAUUAUUGGGCGUAAAGAGCUCGUAGGCGGCUUGUCACGUCGGGUGUGAAAGCCCGGGGCUUAACCCCGGGUCUGCAUUCGAUACGGGCUAGCUAGAGUGUGGUAGGGGAGAUCGGAAUUCCUGGUGUAGCGGUGAAAUGCGCAGAUAUCAGGAGGAACACCGGUGGCGAAGGCGGAUCUCUGGGCCAUUACUGACGCUGAGGAGCGAAAGCGUGGGGAGCGAACAGGAUUAGAUACCCCCGUAGUCC